This 465-nucleotide ribosomal RNA is filed under the name Vreelandella stevensii. RNAcentral describes it as "partial 16S ribosomal RNA". It matches the Rfam family "Bacterial small subunit ribosomal RNA", at positions 338 to 795 of the family's 1533-position model. Lineage: Bacteria; Pseudomonadati; Pseudomonadota; Gammaproteobacteria; Oceanospirillales; Halomonadaceae. The record is from RNAcentral.
CCUACGGGGGGCUGCAGUGGGGAAUAUUGGACAAUGGGGGGAACCCUGAUCCAGCCAUGCCGCGUGUGUGAAGAAGGCCCUCGGGUUGUAAAGCACUUUCAGUGAGGAAGAACGCCUGGUGGUUAAUACCCAUCAGGAAAGACAUCACUCACAGAAGAAGCACCGGCUAACUCCGUGCCAGCAGCCGCGGUAAUACGGAGGGUGCGAGCGUUAAUCGGAACUACUGGGCGUAAAGCGCGCGUAGGUGGCUUGAUAAGCCGGUUGUGAAAGCCCCGGGCUCAACCUGGGAACGGCAUCCGGAACUGUCAAGCUAGAGUGCAGGAGAGGAAGGUAGAAUUCCCGGUGUAGCGGUGAAAUGCGUAGAGAUCGGGAGGAAUACCAGUGGCGAAGGCGGCCUUCUGGACUGACACUGACACUGAGGUGCGAAAGCGUGGGUAGCAAACAGGAUUAGAUACCCUGGUAGUC